CCAAUAAGCAGCAUCCUCCAUGGCCUCUGC
This 30-nucleotide non-coding RNA is filed under the name Mus musculus (house mouse). The record is from RNAcentral. Lineage: Eukaryota; Metazoa; Chordata; Mammalia; Rodentia; Muridae.